Molecule: ribosomal RNA, 482 nt
Filed under: uncultured bacterium
Lineage: Bacteria
Description: partial 16S ribosomal RNA
Rfam family: Bacterial small subunit ribosomal RNA
Source: RNAcentral
AUUGAACGCUGGCGGCAUGCUUUACACAUGCAAGUCGAACGGUAACAGGCCGCCAGGUGCUGACGAGUGGCGAACGGGUGAGUAAUGCAUCGGAACGUGCCCAGUCGUGGGGGACAACUACUCGAAAGAGUAGCUAAUACCGCAUACGAUCUAUGGAUGAAAGCGGGGGACCGUAAGGCCUCGCGCGAUUGGAGCGGCCGAUGUCAGAUUAGGUAGUUGGUGGGGUAAAGGCUCACCAAGCCAACGAUCUGUAGCUGGUCUGAGAGGACGACCAGCCACACUGGGACUGAGACACGGCCCAGACUCCUACGGGAGGCAGCAGUGGGGAAUUUUGGACAAUGGGCGCAAGCCUGAUCCAGCAAUGCCGCGUGCAGGAAGAAGGCCUUCGGGUUGUAAACUGCUUUUGUACGGAACGAAACGGCUCUGGUUAAUACCCGGGGCUAAUGACGGUACCGUAAGAAUAAGCACCGGCUAACUACGUG